Molecule: ribosomal RNA, 247 nt
Filed under: Giardia duodenalis
Lineage: Eukaryota; Fornicata; Diplomonadida; Hexamitidae
Description: Giardia intestinalis partial small subunit ribosomal RNA
Source: RNAcentral
AGCCAUGCAUGCCCGCGCACCCGGGAGGCGGCGGACGGCUCAGGACAACGGUUGCACCCCCCGCGGCGGUCCCUGCUAGCCGGACACCGCUGGCAACCCGGCGCCAAGACGUGCGCGCAAGGGCGGGCGCCCGCGGGCGAGCAGUGUGACGCAGCGACGGCCCGCCCGGGCUUCCGGGGCAUCACCCGGUCGGCGCGGUCGCGGCGCGCCGAGGGCCCGACGCCUGGCGGAGAAUAGGGGUCGACUA